Molecule: unclassified non-coding RNA, 2632 nt
Filed under: Hevea brasiliensis (rubber tree)
Lineage: Eukaryota; Viridiplantae; Streptophyta; Magnoliopsida; Malpighiales; Euphorbiaceae
Source: RNAcentral
GUUUGCUGAAACAAAAUUUAAAAAAGCUCAGAGGUAACAGCAGCAAGCACUCGAAACCCCCAAAAUAUGCCUUCAAAACCCAAAUCAUCUCUGCCUCUCGCUGAUUCUCUUCCACUCCCACAUCAUGACGACGACGAUGACUUCCAGAUCCCUCUCUCACAAUCACAGCAAGCUUUCACUGUCGCUUCAACCUCCAGAAAACCCCUCAAACCCUCCAACAAUUCCCACCGACCGCCAAAAAAACCCAAGCGAUCUAACAAUCCCGGCAAGGAGAACGUGGCUCCCAACAAUUCUAUACCCAAUUGGAAAACGCCGUCUGAUACCGAUGAAGAGUUAAAAUUAUACGAGAAUUGCAGCUUGGAUUUGAUAGAGUCGAGCAUCGAUUUCAGUCACAGAAAUAUUAAUGUCGAUGACGAUGAGCAUUGUCAAAAUAGAAGUUUUGAAACCGAGAGUGGUAAGAGGAAAGAGGGACUGGAAGUGAAUGUGGGGUAUUUGUGCAAUUCUAUAGAAGCUAGGCUAAUGAGGUCGGGAGUUGAUCCUGGAGUCAAUCCCGUAGAUCAUGGGUUAAAUGAGGCUGAUGGGUUGGAGGAUUUCGACGAAGACGGUCAGCUUGACGUGCUAAUUAAGUUAUGUACUGAUGAUUCGAGAGAGGAAAGCAAGGUUACCAGUGGUAUGGAUCAGGGAGGUUGUUUGGUUCAGUGUCCGCUUUGCGGGAUUGACAUUUCGGAUCUGAGCGAGGAAUCCAGACUGGUUCACACUAACGAUUGUCUCGACAAAGAGGAGAAAAACGUCCAACAAGUUGCUUCUGCCAAAAAUGACGGGGGAACUGACUUGGCACCACAAGUUGAUGAUGUUCUUGUUCAUUCUCCAGGCCAAGUUGUUGAUGUUUCCCCUGUACUUAAGUGGCUACAAAAUUUAGGUUUAGAAAGAUAUGAGGAAGCUUUCGUUCGAGAAGAAAUUGAUUGGGAAUCCUUAAAGUGGCUAACAGAAGAGGAUCUCUUUAGCAUAGGUGUUACUGCACUUGGUCCAAGGAAGAAGAUUGUGCAUGCUCUUGCCGAACUUAGAAAAGGGUGUAAUCUAGUGGCUGAGACGCACAGGGACACACAUGCUUCUGUUGAAGUUGGAUCAUGUAGUAUCCAUGGAGCAGAGAUGCAAGUAGGGUCUUCCAAAGUUAUUGGUGAUGUAACUAGUAAAUCAGCUGCAAACAAGUUGAUUACGGAGUAUUUUCCUGGUACUGUCAAUGUUAGAAAGAAACUUGGCACCUUGUCUACAAAAAAGCAAGGACUAGCAAAGAGACACCAAGAUUAUGCUAAUAAGUGUGUGGUGAAAAACCACCCUGUAAACAUUAAAAAGCUCAAAGAUAUUCCCUUGUGGUGCACCAUACCAGGGACGCCAUUCCGGGUGGAUGCUUUCAAAUAUCUUAGAGGAGAUUGUGCCCAUUGGUUUCUUACUCACUUCCAUAUGGAUCAUUAUCAAGGCUUAACAAGAUCUUUCUGUCAUGGGAAGAUCUAUUGCUCCUUGAUCACAGCAAGACUUGUAAAUAUGAAGAUUGGGAUCCCUUGGGACAGAUUACAAAUUUUACCUCUCAACCAAACCAUCAAUAUUGCUGGGAUUGAUGUGACGUGCUUGGAUGCAAACCACUGCUCGGGUUCCAUCAUAAUACUCUUUGAACCUCCCAAUGGUAAGGCAGUUUUACACACAGGAGAUUUUCGCUUUUGUGAGAAGAUGGCAAGCAUGAUUGCUUUACAAAGGUGUCAUAUCCAUACUCUCAUCCUUGAUACCACAUACUGCAACCCCCAGUAUGACUUUCCAAAGCAGGAGGCUGUAAUACAGUUUGUCAUUGAGGCCAUUCAAGCUGAAUCUUUCAAUCCCAAAACUCUUUUUCUAAUUGGAAGCUACACUAUUGGAAAGGAAAGACUGUUCUUGGAGGUUGCUCACUUACUCAAAAGAAAGGUUCAUGUUACAGCGGCAAAGUUUCGUCUUUUGGAAUGUUUAGGGCUCUCGAAGGAAGAUAUGCAGUGGUUAACAUUAAAUGAACAGGAAAGCCAAAUUCAUGUGGUGCCUAUGUGGACACUUGCGAGCUUUAAAAGACUGAAACAUAUAUCCAAUCAAUAUGCGGGCCGAUUCAGUCUUACAGUCGCCUUCUCUCCAACUGGUUGGACAUUUGGCAAGGGGAAAAAGAAGUCUCCAGGUAGAAGGUGGCAGCAAGGAACCAUUAUAAGGUAUGAAGUUCCAUAUAGCGAGCAUUGCAGUUUUACAGAACUCAGAGAGUUUGUGAAGUUUGUAUCUCCUGAAAAAAUAAUACCAAGUGUAAAUAAUGAUGGACCGGAUUCUGCUGAUACAAUGGUUUCCCUUCUGCUGUCUUGAUUGAUUCACUGCAAGCCAGCAAGCUGGAGGGAGCCCUUUUCUUUGGUUCAGAUGCCAUGCUCUUAGAGAACAGUUCAUCUGUAUGAAUGGUCAGGACCCCUAUCUAAGGGUUAAUUUCACUCAUAGUCCCUUGAUUUAGUGGGUUGUAUCAAAUAAUAUCCAUCCACUUUAAUUUAUAUCAUAAAAAUUCUUAAACUUUAAGUAGUAUUAAAAUCCUGUGAUUUGCUAUUAUAAGAUUUUUAUGAGAUAAAUUAAAAUUAAGGAG